GGGGCCGUAGCUCAAUUGGGAGAGCAUCGGCUUUGCAAGCCGAGGGUCGUGGGUUCGAAUCCCAUCGGCUCCA
RNAcentral lists this transfer RNA (73 nucleotides) under Planctomycetota bacterium. Its description in RNAcentral is "Planctomycetes bacterium (freshwater metagenome) tRNA-Ala". It matches the Rfam family "tRNA". Rfam says of the family: Transfer RNA (tRNA) molecules are approximately 80 nucleotides in length. Their secondary structure includes four short double-helical elements and three loops (D, anti-codon, and T loops). Lineage: Bacteria; Pseudomonadati; Planctomycetota. The record is from RNAcentral.